UUAAGCGACUAAGCGUACACGGUGGAUGCCCUGGCAGUCAGAGGCGAUGAAGGACGUGCUAAUCUGCGAUAAGCGUCGGUGAGGUGAUAUGAACCGUUAUAACCGGCGAUUUCCGAAUGGGGAAACCCAGUGUGUUUCGACACACUAUCAUUAACUGAAUCCAUAGGUUAAUGAGGCGAACCGGGGGAACUGAAACAUCUAAGUACCCCGAGGAAAAGAAAUCAACCGAGAUUCCCCCAGUAGCGGCGAGCGAACGGGGAGGAGCCCAGAGCCUGAAUCAGUGUGUGUGUUAGUGGAAGCGUCUGGAAAGGCGCGCGAUACAGGGUGACAGCCCCGUACACAAAAAUGCACAUAUUGUGAGCUCGAUGAGUAGGGCGGGACACGUGGUAUCCUGUCUGAAUAUGGGGGGACCAUCCUCCAAGGCUAAAUACUCCUGACUGACCGAUAGUGAACCAGUACCGUGAGGGAAAGGCGAAAAGAACCCCGGCGAGGGGAGUGAAAAAGAACCUGAAACCGUGUACGUACAAGCAGUGGGAGCCUCUUAAUGGGGUGACUGCGUACCUUUUGUAUAAUGGGUCAGCGACUUAUAUUCUGUAGCAAGGUUAACCGAAUAGGGGAGCCGAAGGGAAACCGAGUCUUAACUGGGCGUUAAGUUGCAGGGUAUAGACCCGAAACCCGGUGAUCUAGCCAUGGGCAGGUUGAAGGUUGGGUAACACUAACUGGAGGACCGAACCGACUAAUGUUGAAAAAUUAGCGGAUGACUUGUGGCUGGGGGUGAAAGGCCAAUCAAACCGGGAGAUAGCUGGUUCUCCCCGAAAGCUAUUUAGGUAGCGCCUCGUGAAUUCAUCUCCGGGGGUAGAGCACUGUUUCGGCAAGGGGGUCAUCCCGACUUACCAACCCGAUGCAAACUGCGAAUACCGGAGAAUGUUAUCACGGGAGACACACGGCGGGUGCUAACGUCCGUCGUGAAGAGGGAAACAACCCAGACCGCCAGCUAAGGUCCCAAAGUCAUGGUUAAGUGGGAAACGAUGUGGGAAGGCCCAGACAGCCAGGAUGUUGGCUUAGAAGCAGCCAUCAUUUAAAGAAAGCGUAAUAGCUCACUGGUCGAGUCGGCCUGCGCGGAAGAUGUAACGGGGCUAAACCAUGCACCGAAGCUGCGGCAGCGACGCUUAUGCGUUGUUGGGUAGGGGAGCGUUCUGUAAGCCUGUGAAGGUGGCCUGUGAGGGUUGCUGGAGGUAUCAGAAGUGCGAAUGCUGACAUAAGUAACGAUAAAGCGGGUGAAAAGCCCGCUCGCCGGAAGACCAAGGGUUCCUGUCCAACGUUAAUCGGGGCAGGGUGAGUCGACYCCUAAGGCGAGGCCGAAAGGCGUAGUCGAUGGGAAACAGGUUAAUAUUCCUGUACUUGGUGUUACUGCGAAGGGGGGACGGAGAAGGCUAUGUUGGCCGGGCGACGGUUGUCCCGGUUUAAGCGUGUAGGCUGGUUUUCCAGGCAAAUCCGGAAAAYCAAGGCUGAGGCGUGAUGACGAGGCACUACGGUGCUGAAGYRACAAAUGCCCUGCUUCCAGGAAAAGCCUCUAAGCAUCAGGUAACAUCAAAUCGUACCCCAAACCGACACAGGUGGUCAGGUAGAGAAUACCAAGGCGCUUGAGAGAACUCGGGUGAAGGAACUAGGCAAAAUGGUGCCGUAACUUCGGGAGAAGGCACGCUGAUAUGUAGGUGAAGCGACUUGCUCGUGGAGCUGAAAUCAGUCGAAGAUACCAGCUGGCUGCAACUGUUUAUUAAAAACACAGCACUGUGCAAACACGAAAGUGGACGUAUACGGUGUGACGCCUGCCCGGUGCCGGAAGGUUAAUUGAUGGGGUUAGCGGUAACGCGAAGCUCUUGAUCGAAGCCCCGGUAAACGGCGGCCGUAACUAUAACGGUCCUAAGGUAGCGAAAUUCCUUGUCGGGUAAGUUCCGACCUGCACGAAUGGCGUAAUGAUGGCCAGGCUGUCUCCACCCGAGACUCAGUGAAAUUGAACUCGCUGUGAAGAUGCAGUGUACCCGCGGCAAGACGGAAAGACCCCGUGAACCUUUACUAUAGCUUGACACUGAACAUUGAGCCUUGAUGUGUAGGAUAGGUGGGAGGCUUUGAAGUGUGGACGCCAGUCUGCAUGGAGCCGACCUUGAAAUACCACCCUUUAAUGUUUGAUGUUCUAACGUUGGCCCGUAAUCCGGGUUGCGGACAGUGUCUGGUGGGUAGUUUGACUGGGGCGGUCUCCUCCUAAAGAGUAACGGAGGAGCACGAAGGUUGGCUAAUCCUGGUCGGACAUCAGGAGGUUAGUGCAAUGGCAUAAGCCAGCUUGACUGCGAGCGUGACGGCGCGAGCAGGUGCGAAAGCAGGUCAUAGUGAUCCGGUGGUUCUGAAUGGAAGGGCCAUCGCUCAACGGAUAAAAGGUACUCCGGGGAUAACAGGCUGAUACCGCCCAAGAGUUCAUAUCGACGGCGGUGUUUGGCACCUCGAUGUCGGCUCAUCACAUCCUGGGGCUGAAGUAGGUCCCAAGGGUAUGGCUGUUCGCCAUUUAAAGUGGUACGCGAGCUGGGUUUAGAACGUCGUGAGACAGUUCGGUCCCUAUCUGCCGUGGGCGCUGGAGAACUGAGGGGGGCUGCUCCUAGUACGAGAGGACCGGAGUGGACGCAUCACUGGUGUUCGGGUUGUCAUGCCAAUGGCACUGCCCGGUAGCUAAAUGCGGAAGAGAUAAGUGCUGAAAGCAUCUAAGCACGAAACUUGCCCCGAGAUGAGUUCUCCCUGAGACUU
Molecule: ribosomal RNA, 2796 nt
Filed under: Escherichia coli
Lineage: Bacteria; Pseudomonadati; Pseudomonadota; Gammaproteobacteria; Enterobacterales; Enterobacteriaceae
Description: bacterial LSU rRNA
Source: RNAcentral